This is a long non-coding RNA of Brassica rapa (field mustard), 6283 nucleotides long. RefSeq lists it as uncharacterized. The record is from RefSeq and is a predicted model, not a curated record. NCBI's taxonomy places the organism in Eukaryota, Viridiplantae, Streptophyta, Magnoliopsida, Brassicales, Brassicaceae.
UGUCGACAAACUCUUUUACGGUCUUUCACUUCCUCUUCUCCGAUCUCUGAGUAUAAGGGUUACUUUGAGCAUCUCCUUAUCAAUCAAUGAUCAACUUUAAUUUCUUCUUAAAAUUUUCGUUCCACCUCCCCUUGAUCCUCCACCUAUAGAAAGCGUUGUAUCUAAACCUAAAUCCACUCAAAAAAAAAAAAAAACUACUGUGAAACCACAUCCAUGUCCAUGAAAUCCACCGGAGAAUCUCAGAUCUCCACUGACAAGUCUCAAGUCGCUGUCUAUUUUAACGACAUCUCACAGAACCAGCUCAGUCAGAGCUUCGAUUUUGCUCCCUUUAUAUAGAGCUUGCAGUUCGUCGACAUGUUACUCAUCGGGUCUAUGGUUUCGAUCCAGUCUCAUCAAUCUGAGAUUUAUUGUUAACCAAGAAGAAUAGCGCUGCUUGGAAGUUCGUUGUGGAUUUGCGCUCUCUCUCUCUCUCUCUCUCUUUUCAUCUCGAUUAUGUUACUCUGUUUUGAUAUUUGUUUGAUCCAGUGUUAUUAGGUGUUAUUUUUAAUUCUUCAUCUUACUUUCAGUAACCGGUAAGGCAAGAUGAAGCAGAUAAACAAUUUAUUUAUCAAUUAGAGGAAGAGGAAUCGGCAGAGUAAUCCAUCUUCUUCCACUGUCUUGAAAAUCAAAUGCAAAAGUGAGUUCUAUCUCCUUUGGAUUGAGUAGGGUUUUUGGUUGACACAUGUUGACAAAUUCAGGGACUGCAAUACCACGCUUGAAAUAAAGGAUCAACAGCCAAGGAACCAAAUUUUACAAAAGAAAGUUCUUGGCGUGGAAGAUUUCAUGUGCAUGUUAAACGAACCGUACGACCUGUCUAUGCUACGGUUUUGCAGCAUAAGAAACCAACCUCAAGUGCUGCAGAUGAUAUAACAGGUGGAUCAAGAUUGACUUCUCAGACUGUUCUGAGGCAAGAAGUACCAACUGCAACCUCCAAAAGUUACACCUUCAAAACAAGUAUGGUCAUUUAGUUUUCAUUCUUUUGUUUUGUCGCUUUUGUUUUACAUUAUAAAAACACUUAACCAACACAUGUGUCACUCGGUUUAUCAAAAAUUUGAUUUCUAAAGUAGGAGAAGCCAGUCCCAACAUGUUGAUUACAGAUUAUAUUUGGCACGUGAAAAGAAGUAAUGCUUCUUAACUUGAAAAUGAAAAAUAUUUAGUUGAGCAUCAUGAUUCAUGAAUAUGAAUUCAGCUCAUUGUUACAUUAGUCCAAGUUCAUGAAUAUGUAGCAGAUUCAAGGAAGGGAUACUUCUAUCGUUGGCCUUAACCGUGAAAGAAAGCAAACAUGAUUUUCCCCAAGUCAAAAAGUCACUGAAUAUGAGUUAAAAAUGGAAGAUUUUAUACUUACCAUUUUCAUAAACAAUACCAGAUAAAACAAAGCAGCGAGGUCCUCCGUUUAGUCAUAUACAAGAGGGACUUCUUUUGAUUUGCUCUCGAUUUAUUUUAGUAGAACAAUUAAUCUUCCUCUACCUCACCAACACAUGUGUACCUGAUAUGGUUUAAAAUAAUCUGACAACUACAAUAAUAGUAGAAAUCAAACUAGAUAAUCAAAAUAAAAUAAACAUAUCAAAAUAUUCACACACCCAAAAUAAAGACAGCCCAUAAGAAUUCAACAUUAUAUUAUGAAAUUUAGUUAACUGCAACGAAAUUAAGGUUGAAUAUCAUAAUAUGAAACAAUUUUAACAGUAAAAACUGAUGAAUAUAAUAACACAAAUCAAAGAAAUAACAAUUAGAAAUAAUAUAUAGUAAAAAAUUCAUAAUAAACAUAAUUGUUUUUAAAAUAACUAAUGUUUCAUAGUGUUUUGUAAUUUGAAAAAUUAUGUGUCUUAGACAUGUUAGUAAUUUCUAAAAUGAAUUUUAAAAUAUAUAGAUAAAAUUGUUGUAAAAUAAGUAUAUACUUCAAUGGUAUUUUUAGGUAAAAGUAAAUUUAGAAUUUAAAAUAAAUUUGUAUUAUUAGUUUAUUUAUUCGCCCCGCCCGUAGGGCGGGUUUAUCCUAGUCUCUAUAAUAUUAUCUGAAAAAUUAAUUUCAUAUAUGAUGUUCUCAUGUUAAUUUUUACAAUAGUUAUUACAAAAUAACUUUAACUUUAAUAUAUUAAAUUAAACACUAAAAUGCAAUUAUUAAUAUUUUAUUUAAAUUUAUUUUCUGUUAAUAAUUGUUUCCAAACUAAUUUACUAUCAAAAAUAAAUAUCUUUUAUAUAAAUAUAUAUAGCAUUUUAUAUUUAAAAUAUGGACUUUAGAAAAACAAAUACCCUAUAUAUAAAUAAAAGGAAUUUAAAACAAAAAUGCAAUAUUUUUAAUAUUAAAAAAAUUAUAUAUAAAAAUUUAUAUCAAAGCAUGUAAUUUAAUAAAAACGAAUUUAUUUAUAUAAAUAAAAAGGAAUAGAUUAUAAAAAUAAUAAUAUAUUUAUUAAAAAUAUAGCCAUUUUUAUAUUUAAAACAUACAACUUCUGAAGACGAAUUAUUUUAUAUAUAUCAAAAAGGAUAUAUACUUAAAAUAAAAAUAUAUAACAAUUUCUCUUAUAUUUUAACAUAUUGCUUAAUCAAAAAUAAUUUCCUUUCGAAUUUUAAAAUUCAUAAAAACAUAUCGUUUUUCCUAAAUCACGUUGCUUUAAUCAAUUUAUUAUAACAUUAAAAUUUCUAAUAUUUCAUUAAUAAAAUAAAUUUGUUAUUUAGAAAUUUGUUCACAUUUGUUAGAAACAUUUUGUUGUAGGAAAUUUUUGUUAUAAAAAUAUUUACAAUUUUCACGUUAAUAGAACAUCUUAAUUACUAUUUCUCGUGAACAACAUAAAUAGAUUCACUUAAUACUCUGCUAACCAAUUCAUUUAUCUUAAUUACUAUUUAUAAUCAAUUUUUAAUUUCCAAGUCAACAAAUUUUUUUUUAAUUACAAAUUCUCAAUCCUAAUAAUAUAUAGCUAUUCAUAUCUCUAUACAAAUUAAUAGCUGAUUAUUUAAAGUCUUAACGCUCAGCAUAAUAUUUCAAUAUCUAAGAUUUUACCGUGUUCAUAAAAAUGUCAUAUUUUGUAGAAAUCACACUCAUCGUCUUCGUUAAAGAAAUUCAUUCAUCUUUGAACAGAUGAAUGAUCAAAGUGAAAAUAAUAAAGUGACUGAGUAAAUAAAGAAAACUACAAACAAUUAUGUGGACUACACAUGUCUUCUAAGUACUCAUUGAAAAAUGUAAUAGAGUCUCUUAAAAGGUUUUAAUAAAUCUUACUAGAUUCUGACCCACUUUUGAAAGGGCGGGUAUAUUUUUUGUUUUACAUAUUUUUUUUUUAAAAAAAAAUUAUAUUUCUGUUUUUCAUUGUUAUCAUAUUUGUGUUUUUCUCUGUAAUCAUAUAAUGUAAAAUAUAUAUUUUAAAUUAUUUGUAAGAAGUUUUGAUAAUUCUAUUGAAUUUGUGAUGUUACAUAACUAUACACUUGUGCCAUAGUAUUUUUCACACGUUUGUUUUGUACUUCAUUCCUAAAUGGUUAUUAUUAUUUUUUAAGAAAGUGUUACAAUUUUGUUUAGUAAUUAAAUAGAUUAAAUUUUAUGUUCAUUAAAUUUUCAUGAUUUGAUUUUAUAUAUAAUGACAAUAACGUUAUCAUUAUACAUAAUAGUACACAUAAUAACUUUUCAUGUAAUUAAAAAUGGGUUUUGUAAAUUUUGAUCCAAUCUAUCCUAUACUAAAAGGAACAUAUAAAGCUCUCACAUUGCUCCUCAGAUUAAUUAUAAUCAACCAAUCAGAAUUCAUUAUUUUUGCCAUGUCACACUCUAAUUGGGCUGAUUUUGUUGCUGAUCCGUAAACCCACAACAUUGUUAGGCUAUAUUAGUUAUUAAUGCACAUGUUUUGUUAUUAAUUAGUAUAUAUGAUAUUUUGGUCCAGUAGCCCAAUACACCAGAAUCCUUAAAACGCAGAUCUUGAUCAUUUCUUCGACAUCCUCUCUUCAUCGUUUCAUCUUUUUUUUUUUGAAAGAUUCAUCGUUUCAUCUUCCUCAACGGUUGGUCGAUCAAUCAGCACACUACUCCAUAAUUGAUCAAUGAAUCCUCCAGAAAUCCCACUUAUGUCUUCCUUUCACCUUCCUUCCUCUCAAUUUCUAUAACAUUCCUCCCAAUGGAUGGUAAUCCACCAAAAAGUCUUCCGUAGCCAUUGGCAAUGCCGAAUUUCUAGAUCGAACGAACACACAUGCCUUUCAUAUGUUCAUGUCUGCCUUUCUUCAGGUUCCAACUCCCUUUUUCACAAUAUAUAAACAUAUCCUCUGAUUCUAUGCUCCACCAUCAUACACGACAAAUACAUCACGGCGAGAGAGGCAUGCUUACAGUGAUGUAUCUGCAGGCUUGGUAGAAGCGGAGCUGCGUUACCAGUGAAUCCAGUUCGGUCAAACAACAGUCUCUGAAGCGGGUCGAAUCAUGAAAUCCUAGGAAGAUAGCUACAAGGUUACUUGAUCCUUUUCUUGCUCACUUGAAGACAACACAAGAUUAAGUUGCUAAAGGUGGCUACUCAAUUGUUCUCAAGCCUGAGGAUAGUGACGGUGCGACUUGGUUCACUAUUAGUAAGUAAACAUUUGUAAAACACCGUCACUAAUUUCUCACUUAAUCUUUGCUUGGCAGGUUUUGACAACGGUUACAUUCACUGAGAUCCUCCCGUCGACAAAAGCCAUCGUCUCUUUCAAAGUCCCUGACAACAGUUCUGGCAAGGUUUAAAAAAUAAUAGUAAUAACCCUUUUGUGUAUGCAUUUCAGUGGUUUUGAGAUUGAUACCAUCAACUUAUGAAAUCUGUUAACAACUUGAGGUCCAGUACUUCCAUGACCAUGCAGCAGUCUCCGUACCGCAGCUUUGAAGCAGAACCCAUUGAUCGAUGUAACAGCCACUCUAGAUACACCAGUCAUUUGGUGCUGACGCUGGAUAUGACACAUCCUCCAAAACUUUCACCAAGUACAAUGCUAGAAACGUUACAAAGUACACUGAAUCAUUAUUCUCCACUCCUCACGCAAUCCAUCAUUGAAUGCAUAUACCAUUACUUCAUUUCUCUGAAUCCUGGAGAUUACCUCAACUAUAAAAAGGAACCAAAACAGAAUAACCUUCGUCAAAAUACUUUGGCACUGUAUUGUCUACAUGAGAUAACAAUGUAGAGCAAGUAACACAGGCUCUUAUGAAUCCCCUGAAGCUGCGGAAACAUGAUCAGAGGUGUGAUUCCUUGCUUUGUUUUUUUUUCUUCGGUUUCUUCAAUUUAGUGUCCACGCAACUCUUUGUUCUAUGGUUAAUUUCUAUACACAUUGCCACCAUUGAUUCCAGAUUAUAAUAAUUCAUUGUGUUUUGGAGUUCCUGCUGUAGAUAUAUGUCUAAGCCAUUCCUCAUGUUUUGAUGUUUGAUAUAUUGUUAUAACUGAAAGUCAACUGGUACAAAUAUUAUUCUUGGUAUUAUAUAUUGAUUCAAUAUUUUUGAUCCAGUCACUAGAAAGACAAAAGUGAAACUGUGAAGAAAGGUAAUAGUACUCUUUGACCAAUAUAAGAAUUCCUUUCUUGGUUCGAUGAGUGUGCUAAUCUCACAUGGAUCCUCGACAAUCUUUUACCAAAAAUCCAAACUAAAAGUUGGUUGUUAUAAUACAAGUUUUGUUGUACUUAAGGGAAAUGUUAUGUUAACGAAAUAGAAAAAGAAACUACAAGUCUUACAAACUUAUUACUAACCAAGUAUUUUACUAUUAUAGUUUCAAAAAGAAAAGUAUUUUACUAUUUUCAAUCAAAUGACAUUUUCUAAAAAAUAUGAUAUUAUGAGUACUAAUCACUGAACAUUUAAACCUAUACCGUUUCUAAGUUAGUUAAAAUACAUUUGAUCCCCCUUCUAAAUCAACACAUAUAUUACUAAAAUAUUAAUUUCAUAUAUUUAGUUAUUUACAAUAUAUAAAGUAUCAAUAAUAUUUUGGAUGCAAAAAUUUGAUCAAAUAAAUAUAAGGGGACAUAUUUUCAACCCAUAUAUAAAAAAAGCUCAACACGUUAAAUAAUAAUAAUGUAAUCAGUGAAUAGUUAAUCAAAAAUUUAAGACGAAACAUUUAUAAUUUUCUUAUUUUAAGAGUGUGAACAAUGGUAAAGUAAAAAUAUUUCUUUGUAUGCUUGAGUAUAUGAUAUAUAUUAUAUUUGUUUAGUAAUUUUCACGACACUAUUAAAAAGAAUCCAUUUCAUCAGAAAUAAUAUAGAUUAUUCAAAAUUUCAAUCAAAAAUGAAAAAAAACUAAAAUUUGAUAUUAUAUCAUAUAUGAUAUCAAAAGAAGUAGCAA